CCUACGGGAGGCAGCAGUGAGGAAUAUUGGUCAAUGGACGCAAGUCUGAACCAGCCAUGCCGCGUGCAGGAAGACGGCUCUAUGAGUUGUAAACUGCUUUUGUACGAGGGUAAACCUGAAUACGUGUAUUCAGCUGAAAGUACUGUACGAAUAAGGAUCGGCUAACUCCGUGCCAGCAGCCGCGGUAAUACGGAGGAUCCAAGCGUUAUCCGGAUUUAUUGGGUUUAAAGGGUGCGUAGGCGGUUGGAUAAGUUAGAGGUGAAAUCCCGGGGCUCAACUCGGGCACUGCCUCUGAUAGUGUAGGGGUAGAUGGUAGUUGCGGUAGGCGGAAUGUAUGGUGGAGCGGUGAAAUGCAUAGCGAUCAUACAGCACACCGAUUGGGAAGGCAGCUUACCAAACUACGACUGACGUUGAGGCACGAAGGCGUGGGGAGCAAACAGGCUGAGAGACCCCGGUAGUC
RNAcentral lists this ribosomal RNA (460 nucleotides) under uncultured bacterium. RNAcentral describes it as "partial 16S ribosomal RNA". It matches the Rfam family "Bacterial small subunit ribosomal RNA", at positions 338 to 795 of the family's 1533-position model. The record is from RNAcentral.